AUGUUUCCAUCUUUGCUCCCAUCUCUUCUUCCUCGGGCUCUUCCUCCAGAAUGUGAGUCCAUCAGGGCGCAGGCAGACGCACACCCUCCACCCACCUGGGAAAGCCUCCCUCCUCCUCCUCUUCCUCCUUCCCUGACAGAUCCAAACCGGGGCUCCCCCUCUGCGGUCCCACGUCCACAAGCACUGGGCGGCCCGGCCGACCCAAAGGGAAUGGCUGUGUAUGGAUGGGGGUGGGGGUGUCAGCCCAGAGAUUCGGGGCCCUCCUCCCUCCCUCCCUCCCCCCCCAAAACCAAUACCCGGAGGGACCCACAGCUGGAGGUCUCCCACUCCCAGUGGCACCUGAAGGACAGACAAACACCUUCUACGGCUCCAGUUCUCACUCCCUCCAGGUUGCAAAAGAGAGGGAGGCAGCUGGAAGGAGGUGGGGAUCCAGAGGAUGCUCCCCCCCCCCACCUCGACAUCAGGCAGCCUCUUUCAUUUCCUCACAGGAAAGAUUACGCAGGAGUAAAGGGUCACCUCGCCCAACAAACAGCCACCUGCAACCUCUUCCUGCAGGACAGGUGGAGCAAGAAAUGGAAACAGGUACGAACCCCACGUGCAUGCACGCACGCACAGGCGGAAACGACACACACACACACACACCACGCAUGGAAAAGUCAGCAAGGGUGCCAGCUUCCUGGCCUGCACGGGCAGGCGGUCUGGGAUGAAGAGAGGCGGCCAUUUGCGGCCAACGGGGCCCGGAGCGCACCACGGCGCACAGGAGGCGAGGCUGAUACCAGGAGGAGCGGCAGGCGGAAGGGCACGCGCACCACCUGGCCUCCGCAGGAGUCACAAAGCCUCCGCCCGGUCCUACGCCUCCCUGCGAGGCAGGCCUCAGGUUCCUCCAGACGCACAUUCGACUCCUCAAGAAACCCCCGAGGACAUCCAGAACAGCGGAAACCACCCGUCCCUUCAGCUGGCAGGGAACGGUCUGCAUUCCUGAAGGACAGCCGCACCGUACUUCUCUCCCUUCAGGUGCAGAAAGGCUGAGCUGAUGAGAGACUUACAAGCUACCUGAGACAUCUCUCGUCACCUGCCAAGGUGCUGGCACAGGUAACAGCUUCUCUUAGGUGCCCUCUUCACCUGUUGCUGGGUCAGACCAGGAAAGCAGCUUCUCAGCUCCUGAGACGACCUUUACCCUGGCAGGGAUUGCCCUCUGCCUUAAAAGGCUGUCAUCAUGUUUCAUAUUGCAUGUCAAGUGUCUAGCUUUCCACAUAUCAUAAAUUGUCCUCAUGGGAUAGAAAGUCAUUUGUGCUCCAUAAGAAGGAGUGGUUCUUUUUUCUUCCCUUUUUGGCUUUUGACUAUUUUCAGCUUUUUAAGUGCUCAUAUAUGACAAACAGUUUGUGUCAUGUCUUUAUGCCUCUAUAAAAUUAAGAUAAAGCCUGGCUUUCUAGCAAAAGGCAGUUGGCUCCACCUAAUUACCUCCCCACCCUCCUGUGUUUCCUUUUUUUAAUGGGGGAAUCAAGUUAAUCCAUCACAGCAGCUGCUGCCUCGGGAACCCUGGCUCUCCCUAGAAGCAAGACGGGGUGUUCUCAGAAAGGAACUUCCUGUUGCUCGGCUGCCUGACCAGGAAGGGAGGAAGGGGGGGGGGAAAGACCAUGGAAGUUCUGAGCAGUCCUGAGGAGCCAUUGGUCCGGAAGUGACCUAUGAGUCACAUCUGGAUCAGACCAUGGCAGGGGAGAGACAGAAAGGGAUUUGCAUGAAAGAGGAUGGGCAGGCGGUGAACGGGUGUCCUAAGAGAGGCCCUGGCAAAAUUUUGGGAGGGGGUGGGGCCAGAAGGGAGAUUCCCAAAGGGCUGCGAGGCUUCCAAAGAGAGCUUCGCUUAAAAGUUUCAGAGCCUCUGCAUUUGGGCAGCUGCUGUCCCUCUGCUGCAGAAGGGGAAAGGAUCAUUAUCCAGGAGUUCAGGCUGGACUCCCCACCCCCGCCCCUGCUGGAGAUCCCCUGCUCUUGCCUGGUCCUCUCCCCUCCAGAUACGAAGCAGGCUCACCCACUUCUUAGCCUCCUCCCUUUGUUUAAAAACAGCCUGGAGCAAUGAGGCUUGAGAGACCUAAAUGCAGGAGGGCUUCCCCCUGGGGGUCCAGCCAAUACAAGUAGUGGUCUCAAUGGCCAGACAGGCGGGAUAUAACAUAAAUACUGUAAAUAAAUAAAUACAAGUACAGAGUGAGCGCA
This 2208-nucleotide long non-coding RNA is filed under the name Pogona vitticeps (central bearded dragon). RNAcentral describes it as "lncRNA (ENSPVIG00000016873.1)". Lineage: Eukaryota; Metazoa; Chordata; Lepidosauria; Squamata; Agamidae. The record is from RNAcentral.